AGAGUUUGAUUCUGGCUCAGGAUGAACGCUGGCGGCAUGCCUAAUACAUGCAAGUCGAACGAGAGGAAGGAAAGCUUGCUUUUCUGAAUCUAGUGGCGAACGGGUGAGUAACACGUAGGUAACCUGCCCAUGUGCCCGGGAUAACUUCUGGAAACGGAUGCUAAAACCGGAUAGGUAGCAGACAAGCAUUUGACUGCUAUUAAAGUGGCUAUGGCCAUGAACAUGGAUGGACCUGCGGUGCAUUAGCUAGUUGGUGAGGUAACGGCCUACCAAGGCGACGAUGCAUAGCCGGCCUGAGAGGGCGGACGGCCACAUUGGGACUGAGACACGGCCCAAACUCCUACGGGAGGCAGCAGUAGGGAAUUUUCGUCAAUGGGGGGAACCCUGAACGAGCAAUGCCGCGUGAGUGAGGAAGGUCUUCGGAUCGUAAAGCUCUGUUGUAAGAGAAAAACGGCACUCAUAGGGAAUGAUGAGUGAGUGAUGGUAUCUUACCAGAAAGUCACGGCUAACUACGUGCCAGCAGCCGCGGUAAUACGUAGGUGGCGAGCGUUAUCCGGAAUGAUUGGGCGUAAAGGGUGCGUAGGUGGCAGAUCAAGUCUGGAGUAAAAGGUAUGGGCUCAACCCGUACUGGCUCUGGAAACUGAUCAGCUGGAGAACAGAAGAGGACGGCGGAACUCCAUGUGUAGCGGUG
RNAcentral lists this ribosomal RNA (691 nucleotides) under uncultured bacterium. RNAcentral describes it as "bacterial SSU rRNA". It matches the Rfam family "Bacterial small subunit ribosomal RNA", at positions 8 to 683 of the family's 1533-position model. The record is from RNAcentral.